Long non-coding RNA from Ictalurus punctatus (channel catfish), 471 nucleotides. NCBI's taxonomy places the organism in Eukaryota, Metazoa, Chordata, Actinopteri, Siluriformes, Ictaluridae. The record is from Ensembl.
CUGCUUUUACGAACAGGUAAUUUAUAUCUUUCACAGCCAGUUUGACCCGUUCUUUAGUGUGAACACAGGUGCUAUCCAGAAGGUUAUCUAGGACUGUUGGUAUUGUUUGGCUGCCUGCUGCUUUCUGGUAUUUCUGUGUGCUGUGUUCAGUCCAUCUGUAUGGUUUCUGAUGUGGUACAGCUUACUGGGUUGUGUGCUGAUAGCAGUAUUAGUUCUUUCUGAGAUACACAGUGAUAUUCUGUGAUCAGACAGGAGGCUUAGGGUUAGGGUUAGGGUUAGAGAUGGGGUUAGUGUUAGGGUUAGAGAUGGGGUUAGUGUUAGGGUUAGAGAUGGGGUUAGUGUUAGUGUUAGAGAUGGGGUUAGUGUUAGGGUUAGAGAUGGGUUUAGAGUUAGGGUUAGAGAUGGGGUUAAUGUUAGGGUUAGAGAAGGGGUUAGAGAUGGUGUUAGAGUUGGGGUUAGUGUUAGGGUUAG